RNAcentral lists this ribosomal RNA (253 nucleotides) under uncultured bacterium. RNAcentral describes it as "partial 16S ribosomal RNA". It matches the Rfam family "Bacterial small subunit ribosomal RNA", at positions 524 to 776 of the family's 1533-position model. The record is from RNAcentral.
UACGUAGGGGGCGAGCGUUGUCCGGAUUUACUGGGCGUAAAGCGCGCGCAGGCGGUCCUUUAAGUCAGGGGUGAAAGCCCAGAGCUCAACUCUGGAACUGCCUUUGAAACUAGAGGACUUGGGUACGGGAGAGGUGAGUGGAAUUCCGAGUGUAGAGGUGAAAUUCGUAGAUAUUCGGAAGAACACCAGUGGCGAAGGCGGCUCACUGGCCCGUUACCGACGCUCAGGCGCGACAGCGUGGGGAGCAAACAGG